Molecule: ribosomal RNA, 468 nt
Filed under: uncultured bacterium
Lineage: Bacteria
Description: partial 16S ribosomal RNA
Rfam family: Bacterial small subunit ribosomal RNA
Source: RNAcentral
GACGAACGCUGGCGGCGUGCUUAACACAUGCAAGUCGAACGGAAAGGCCCUGCUUUUGUGGGGUGCUCGAGUGGCGAACGGGUGAGUAACACGUGAGUAACCUGCCCUUGACUUUGGGAUAACUUCAGGAAACUGGGGCUAAUACCGGAUAGGAGCUCCUGCUGCAUGGUGGGGGUUGGAAAGUUUCGGCGGUGUGGGAUGGACUCGCGGCUUAUCAGCUUGUUGGUGGGGUAGUGGCUUACCAAGGCUUUGACGGGUAGCCGGCCUGAGAGGGUGACCGGCCACAUUGGGACUGAGAUACGGACCAGACUGCUACGGGAGGCAGCAGUGGGGAAUAUUGCACAAUGGGCGGAAGCCUGAUGAAGCAACGCCGCGUGCGGAAAGACGGCCUUCGGGUUGUAAACCGCUUUAGCCUGUGACGAAGCGUGAGUGACGGUAAUGGGUAAAGAAGCACCGGCUAACUACGUG